AGGAAUAUUGGUCAGUGGGCGAGAGCCUGAACCAGCCAAGUAGCGUGCAGGAUGACGGCCCUAUGGGUUGUAAACUGCUUUUAUAAGGGAAUAAAGUUAGUCUCGUGAGACUUUUUGCAUGUACCUUAUGAAUAAGGACCGGCUAAUUCCGUGCCAGCAGCCGCGGUAAUACGGAAGGUCCGGGCGUUAUCCGGAUUUAUUGGGUUUAAAGGGUGCGUAGGCGGCACGCCAAGUCAGCGGUGAAAUUUCCGGGCUCAACCCGGACUGUGCCGUUGAAACUGGCGAGCUAGAGUGCACAAGAGGCAGGCGGAAUGCGUGGUGUAGCGGUGAAAUGCAUAGAUAUCACGCAGAACCCCGAUUGCGAAGGCAGCCUGCUAGGGUGCGACAGACGCUGAGGCACGAAAGCGUGGGUAUCGAACAGGAUUAGAUACCCUGGUAGUCCACGCAGUAAACGAUGAAUACUAACUGUUUGCGAUACAAUGUAAGCGGUACAGCGAAAGCGUUAAGUAUUCCACCUGGGGAGUACGCCGGCAACGGUGAAACUCAAAGGAAUUGACGGGGGCCCGCACAAGCGGAGGAACAUGUGGUUUAAUUCGAUGAUACGCGAGGAACCUUACCCGGGCUCAAACGCAGGGGGAAUAUAUAUGAAAGUAUAUAGCUAGCAAUAGUCACCUGCGAGGUGCUGCAUGGUUGUCGUCAGCUCGUGCCGUGAGGUGUCGGCUUAAGUGCCAUAACGAGCGCAACCCCUAUGGACAGUUACUAACGGGUGAAGCCGAGGACUCUGUCUAGACUGCCGGCGCAAGCCGCGAGGAAGGUGGGGAUGACGUCAAAUCAGCACGGCCCUUACGUCCGGGGCGACACACGUGUUACAAUGGCAGGUACAGAAGGCAGCCAGUCAGCAAUGACGCGCGAAUCCCGAAAACCUGUCUCAGUUCGGAUUGGAGUCUGCAACCCGACUCCAUGAAGCUGGAUUCGCUAGUAAUCGCGCAUCAGCCAUGGCGCGGUGAAUACGUUCCCG
This 1018-nucleotide ribosomal RNA is filed under the name uncultured bacterium. RNAcentral describes it as "bacterial SSU rRNA". It matches the Rfam family "Bacterial small subunit ribosomal RNA", at positions 357 to 1376 of the family's 1533-position model. The record is from RNAcentral.